AAUUGCCUAGUUGGGAACUGCCGAGGGGCGGGGAACCCUCGUAUAGUUCGUGACUUGCAGGCUCGAUGUAGAGUCAAUUCUCCGAGGAUGGUUUUCUUGUGUGAGACUAGGCAACAAAAAAAUAAAAUGGUUAGACUUUGUAGUCGGUUAGGACUGCGAGGUCUUGAUGGAAUAAGUAGUCAGGGUAAAAGUGGUGGUUUAGCUUUGUUUUGGGAUGAAUCGUUGUACGUUGAUGUUCAAGAUAUUAAUUAG
RNAcentral lists this ribosomal RNA (252 nucleotides) under Triticum aestivum (bread wheat). RNAcentral describes it as "partial small subunit ribosomal RNA". The record is from RNAcentral. Lineage: Eukaryota; Viridiplantae; Streptophyta; Magnoliopsida; Poales; Poaceae.